This 777-nucleotide ribosomal RNA is filed under the name uncultured bacterium. RNAcentral describes it as "bacterial SSU rRNA". It matches the Rfam family "Bacterial small subunit ribosomal RNA", at positions 28 to 776 of the family's 1533-position model. The record is from RNAcentral.
GACGAACGCUGGCGCCGUGCCUAAUACAUGCAAGUCGAACGCUUCUUUCCUCCCGAGUGCUUGCACUCAAUUGGAAAGAGGAGUGGCGGACGGGUGAGUAACACGUGGGUAACCUACCCAUCAGAGGGGGAUAACACUUGGAAACAGGUGCUAAUACCGCAUAACAGUUUAUGCCGCAUGGCAUAAGAGUGAAAGGCGCUUUCGGGUGUCGCUGAUGGAUGGACCCGCGGUGCAUUAGCUAGUUGGUGAGGUAACGGCUCACCAAGGCCACGAUGCAUAGCCGACCUGAGAGGGUGAUCGGCCACACUGGGACUGAGACACGGCCCAGACUCCUACGGGAGGCAGCAGUAGGGAAUCUUCGGCAAUGGACGAAAGUCUGACCGAGCAACGCCGCGUGAGUGAAGAAGGUUUUCGGAUCGUAAAACUCUGUUGUUAGAGAAGAACAAGGACGUUAGUAACUGAACGUCCCCUGACGGUAUCUAACCAGAAAGCCACGGCUAACUACGUGCCAGCAGCCGCGGUAAUACGUAGGUGGCAAGCGUUGUCCGGAUUUAUUGGGCGUAAAGCGAGCGCAGGCGGUUUCUUAAGUCUGAUGUGAAAGCCUCCGGCUCAACCGGGGAGGGUCAUUGGAAACUGGGAGACUUGAGUGCAGAAGAGGAGAGUGGAAUUCCAUGUGUAGCGGUGAAAUGCGUAGAUAUAUGGAGGAACACCAGUGGCGAAGGCGGCUCUCUGGUCUGUAACUGACGCUGAGGCUCGAAAGCGUGGGGAGCAAACAGG